RNAcentral lists this ribosomal RNA (2928 nucleotides) under Bacillus albus. Its description in RNAcentral is "23S ribosomal RNA". It matches the Rfam family "Bacterial large subunit ribosomal RNA". The record is from RNAcentral. Lineage: Bacteria; Bacillati; Bacillota; Bacilli; Caryophanales; Bacillaceae.
UUUGGUUAAGUUAGAAAGGGCGCACGGUGGAUGCCUUGACACUAGGAGUCGAUGAAGGACGGGACUAACGCCGAUAUGCUUCGGGGAGCUGUAAGUAAGCUUUGAUCCGAAGAUUUCCGAAUGGGGAAACCCACCAUACGUAAUGGUAUGGUAUCCUUAUCUGAAUACAUAGGGUAAGGAAGACAGACCCAGGGAACUGAAACAUCUAAGUACCUGGAGGAAGAGAAAGCAAAUGCGAUUUCCUGAGUAGCGGCGAGCGAAACGGAACAUAGCCCAAACCAAGAGGCUUGCCUCUUGGGGUUGUAGGACAUUCUAUACGGAGUUACAAAGGAACGAGGUAGACGAAGCGACCUGGAAAGGUCCGUCGUAGAGGGUAACAACCCCGUAGUCGAAACUUCGUUCUCUCUUGAAUGUAUCCUGAGUACGGCGGAACACGUGAAAUUCCGUCGGAAUCUGGGAGGACCAUCUCCCAAGGCUAAAUACUCCCUAGUGAUCGAUAGUGAACCAGUACCGUGAGGGAAAGGUGAAAAGCACCCCGGAAGGGGAGUGAAAGAGAUCCUGAAACCGUGUGCCUACAAAUAGUCAGAGCCCGUUAAUGGGUGAUGGCGUGCCUUUUGUAGAAUGAACCGGCGAGUUACGAUCCCGUGCGAGGUUAAGCUGAAGAGGCGGAGCCGCAGCGAAAGCGAGUCUGAAUAGGGCGUUUAGUACGUGGUCGUAGACCCGAAACCAGGUGAUCUACCCAUGUCCAGGGUGAAGUUCAGGUAACACUGAAUGGAGGCCCGAACCCACGCACGUUGAAAAGUGCGGGGAUGAGGUGUGGGUAGCGGAGAAAUUCCAAUCGAACCUGGAGAUAGCUGGUUCUCCCCGAAAUAGCUUUAGGGCUAGCCUUAAGUGUAAGAGUCUUGGAGGUAGAGCACUGAUUGGACUAGGGGUCCUCAUCGGAUUACCGAAUUCAGUCAAACUCCGAAUGCCAAUGACUUAUCCUUAGGAGUCAGACUGCGAGUGAUAAGAUCCGUAGUCAAAAGGGAAACAGCCCAGACCGCCAGCUAAGGUCCCAAAGUGUGUAUUAAGUGGAAAAGGAUGUGGAGUUGCUUAGACAACUAGGAUGUUGGCUUAGAAGCAGCCACCAUUUAAAGAGUGCGUAAUAGCUCACUAGUCGAGUGACUCUGCGCCGAAAAUGUACCGGGGCUAAAUACACCACCGAAGCUGCGGAUUGAUACCAAUGGUAUCAGUGGUAGGGGAGCGUUCUAAGGACAGUGAAGUCAGACCGUAAGGACUGGUGGAGUGCUUAGAAGUGAGAAUGCCGGUAUGAGUAGCGAAAGACGGGUGAGAAUCCCGUCCACCGAAUGCCUAAGGUUUCCUGAGGAAGGCUCGUCCGCUCAGGGUUAGUCAGGACCUAAGCCGAGGCCGACAGGCGUAGGCGAUGGACAACAGGUUGAUAUUCCUGUACCACCUCUUUAUCGUUUGAGCAAUGGAGGGACGCAGAAGGAUAGAAGAAGCGUGCGAUUGGUUGUGCACGUCCAAGCAGUUAGGCUGAUAAGUAGGCAAAUCCGCUUAUCGUAAAGGCUGAGCUGUGAUGGGGAAGCUCCUUAUGGAGCGAAGUCUUUGAUUCCCCGCUGCCAAGAAAAGCUUCUAGCGAGAUAAAAGGUGCCUGUACCGCAAACCGACACAGGUAGGCGAGGAGAGAAUCCUAAGGUGUGCGAGAGAACUCUGGUUAAGGAACUCGGCAAAAUGACCCCGUAACUUCGGGAGAAGGGGUGCUUUCUUAACGGAAAGCCGCAGUGAAUAGGCCCAAGCGACUGUUUAGCAAAAACACAGCUCUCUGCGAAGCCGUAAGGCGAAGUAUAGGGGGUGACACCUGCCCGGUGCUGGAAGGUUAAGGAGAGGGGUUAGCGUAAGCGAAGCUCUGAACUGAAGCCCCAGUAAACGGCGGCCGUAACUAUAACGGUCCUAAGGUAGCGAAAUUCCUUGUCGGGUAAGUUCCGACCCGCACGAAAGGUGUAACGAUUUGGGCACUGUCUCAACCAGAGACUCGGUGAAAUUAUAGUACCUGUGAAGAUGCAGGUUACCCGCGACAGGACGGAAAGACCCCGUGGAGCUUUACUGUAGCCUGAUAUUGAAUUUUGGUACAUUUUGUACAGGAUAGGCGGGAGCCUUUGAAACCGGAGCGCUAGCUUCGGUGGAGGCGCUGGUGGGAUACCGCCCUGAAUGUAUUGAAAUUCUAACCUACGGGUCUUAUCGACCCGGGAGACAGUGUCAGGUGGGCAGUUUGACUGGGGCGGUCGCCUCCUAAAGUGUAACGGAGGCGCCCAAAGGUUCCCUCAGAAUGGUUGGAAAUCAUUCGUAGAGUGCAAAGGCAUAAGGGAGCUUGACUGCGAGACCUACAAGUCGAGCAGGGACGAAAGUCGGGCUUAGUGAUCCGGUGGUUCCGCAUGGAAGGGCCAUCGCUCAACGGAUAAAAGCUACCCCGGGGAUAACAGGCUUAUCUCCCCAAGAGUCCACAUCGACGGGGAGGUUUGGCACCUCGAUGUCGGCUCAUCGCAUCCUGGGGCUGUAGUCGGUCCCAAGGGUUGGGCUGUUCGCCCAUUAAAGCGGUACGCGAGCUGGGUUCAGAACGUCGUGAGACAGUUCGGUCCCUAUCCGUCGUGGGCGUAGGAAAUUUGAGAGGAGCUGUCCUUAGUACGAGAGGACCGGGAUGGACGCACCGCUGGUGUACCAGUUGUUCUGCCAAGGGCAUAGCUGGGUAGCUAUGUGCGGAAGGGAUAAGUGCUGAAAGCAUCUAAGCAUGAAGCCCCCCUCAAGAUGAGAUUUCCCAUAGCGUAAGCUAGUAAGAUCCCUGAAAGAUGAUCAGGUUGAUAGGUUCGAGGUGGAAGCAUGGUGACAUGUGGAGCUGACGAAUACUAAUAGAUCGAGGACUUAACCAUAUAA